Molecule: transfer RNA, 69 nt
Filed under: Anolis argillaceus
Lineage: Eukaryota; Metazoa; Chordata; Lepidosauria; Squamata; Anolidae
Description: tRNA-Trp
Rfam family: tRNA
About the family: Transfer RNA (tRNA) molecules are approximately 80 nucleotides in length.
Source: RNAcentral
AAAAACUUAGGAUAACCAAACCAUGAGCCUUCAAAGCUCAAAAUAGGAGUGCAAGACCCCUAGUUUUUG